UUAAAUUGAAGAGUUUGAUCAUGGCUCAGAUUGAACGCUGGCGGCAGGCCUAACACAUGCAAGUCGAACGGUAACAGGAAGCAGCUUGCUGCUUCGCUGACGAGUGGCGGACGGGUGAGUAAUGUCUGGGAAACUGCCUGAUGGAGGGGGAUAACUACUGGAAACGGUAGCUAAUACCGCAUAACGUCGCAAGACCAAAGAGGGGGACCUUCGGGCCUCUUGCCAUCGGAUGUGCCCAGAUGGGAUUAGCUAGUAGGUGGGGUAACGGCUCACCUAGGCGACGAUCCCUAGCUGGUCUGAGAGGAUGACCAGCCACACUGGAACUGAGACACGGUCCAGACUCCUACGGGAGGCAGCAGUGGGGAAUAUUGCACAAUGGGCGCAAGCCUGAUGCAGCCAUGCCGCGUGUAUGAAGAAGGCCUUCGGGUUGUAAAGUACUUUCAGCGGGGAGGAAGGGAGUAAAGUUAAUACCUUUGCUCAUUGACGUUACCCGCAGAAGAAGCACCGGCUAACUCCGUGCCAGCAGCCGCGGUAAUACGGAGGGUGCAAGCGUUAAUCGGAAUUACUGGGCGUAAAGCGCACGCAGGCGGUUUGUUAAG
RNAcentral lists this ribosomal RNA (599 nucleotides) under Escherichia coli. RNAcentral describes it as "bacterial SSU rRNA". It matches the Rfam family "Bacterial small subunit ribosomal RNA", at positions 1 to 587 of the family's 1533-position model. The record is from RNAcentral. Lineage: Bacteria; Pseudomonadati; Pseudomonadota; Gammaproteobacteria; Enterobacterales; Enterobacteriaceae.